GUGGUUACAGGAUGUUGGAGAGCAACUAUAUAAUCUCUAGUUUUGACAUCUUCACCUGUCCAAAUGGAGGCAAAGAAAGAAUUUUUUUAAUUGGCAUGGAAUACCAAGAGGAAGGAAGGUCAUACUUUUGAAAAUACUGAUGUGAAAGCCUGAAGAGUGAAGGCACUGAAUGGGAUACCUAACACUUGUUCAGCCCAGAGAAAUUACCCAUUUAAGGAGUUACUUUUUCGACUUGACAAAAGGACCAGAAGUGUUCACUAGGACAGAUUUGGAGCUUUUUGGCUAUACAAGGCAGGCUACACAACAAAAGAAAAAGAAAGGAAACGUAGAAAGAAAGAAAUACCAGAGAGAAGCUUGUCAUAUGAGGGACAGCCCGCCAAAAGGAUGCGGUCGUGGUCUUCACACAUGGCUAUCAAGUGCUGCUCUGCACUCCUCGUGCAGCACACGUGGUAAUGGGCCAG
Long non-coding RNA from Lepidothrix coronata (blue-crowned manakin), 461 nucleotides. RefSeq lists it as uncharacterized. Lineage: Eukaryota; Metazoa; Chordata; Aves; Passeriformes; Pipridae. The record is from RefSeq and is a predicted model, not a curated record. The transcript has 3 exons.